This 71-nucleotide transfer RNA is filed under the name Danio rerio (zebrafish). It matches the Rfam family "tRNA". From Rfam's summary of the family: Transfer RNA (tRNA) molecules are approximately 80 nucleotides in length. Their secondary structure includes four short double-helical elements and three loops (D, anti-codon, and T loops). Lineage: Eukaryota; Metazoa; Chordata; Actinopteri; Cypriniformes; Danionidae. The record is from Rfam by way of RNAcentral.
GCAGUGGUGGUUUAGUGGUAGAAUUCUCGCCUGCCACGCGGGAGACCCGGGUCCGAUUCCUGGCCAAUGCA